GUCUUUUUGAUUUAUAUAUAAAGUCUGACCUGCCCACUGAAAAUUUUAAAUGGCUGCAGUAAUUUGACUGUACAAAGGUAGCAUAAUCAUUAGUUUUUUAAUUAAAAGCUCGUAUGAAAGGUUGGACGAAGUAAAAUCUGUCUCUUUUUAAUAUAAUUAGAAUUUAAUUUUUAAGUAAAAAAGCUUAAAUUUUUAUAAAAGACGAGAAGACCCUAUAGAGUUUAAUAAUUUUAAUAAAAUAUUUAAUUAAGAUUUAUUAAUUUUAUUUAAUUAAAAUUAUUUUAUUGGGGUAAUAAAAAGAUUAAAAAAAUUCUUUUUUUUUAAUACAUUAAUUUAUGAAUAUAUGAUCCAUUUGUAGUGAUUAAAAGAUUAAAUUACCUUAGGGAUAACAGCGUAAUUUUUUUAAAGAGUUCUUAUCGAUAAAAAAGUUUGCGACCUCGAUGUUGGAUUAAAGAUUAAUUUAGGUGUAGAAGUUUAAAUUUUUGGUCUGUUCGACCAUUAAAUCUUUACAUGAUCUGAGUUCAAACCGGUGUAAGCCAGGUUGGUUUCUAUCUUUAUUAAUUUUUUAUAUUUUAGUACGAAAGGACCAAAUAUAAAAUAUAUAAAUAUUUUUAUUUUGAAUAUUAUU
Molecule: ribosomal RNA, 628 nt
Filed under: Trechisibus antarcticus
Lineage: Eukaryota; Metazoa; Arthropoda; Insecta; Coleoptera; Carabidae
Description: partial 16S ribosomal RNA
Rfam family: Bacterial large subunit ribosomal RNA (bases 385-543)
Source: RNAcentral